GAUGAAGAACGUAGCGAAAUGCGAUAAGUAGUGUGAAUUGCAGAAUUCAGUGAAUCAUCGAAUCUUUGGACGCACAUUGCGCCCCUUGGUAUCCCGAGGGGCAUGCCUGUUCGAGCGUCAUUUCACCACUCAAGCCUGGCUUGGUGUUGGGCGACGUCCUCUUUGGGGACGCGCCUCGAAACGCUCGGCGGCGUGGCACCGGCUUUAAGCGUAGCAGAAUCUUUCGCUUUGGAAGUCGGGGCCCCGUCUGCCGGAAGACCUGCUCGCAAGGUUGACCUCGGAUCAGGCAGGGAUACCCGCUGAACUUAAGCAUAUCAAUAAGCGGAGGA
Molecule: unclassified non-coding RNA, 329 nt
Filed under: soil metagenome
Description: partial contains 5.8S ribosomal RNA, internal transcribed spacer 2, and large subunit ribosomal RNA
Rfam family: 5.8S ribosomal RNA (bases 1-120)
Source: RNAcentral